AGUGAACGCUGGCGGUAGGCCUAACACAUGCAAGUCGAACGGCAGCACAGGAGAGCUUGCUCUCUGGGUGGCGAGUGGCGGACGGGUGAGGAAUACAUCGGAAUCUACUCUGUCGUGGGGGAUAACGUAGGGAAACUUACGCUAAUACCGCAUACGACCUACGGGUGAAAGCAGGGGACCUUCGGGCCUUGCGCGAUUGAAUGAGCCGAUGUCGGAUUAGCUAGUUGGCGGGGUAAAGGCCCACAAAGGCGACGAUCCGUAGGUGGUCUGAGGAGAUGCUCAGGCACACUGGAAAUGUGAUACGGUCCAGACUCCUACGGGAGGUAGCAGUGAGGCAUAUUGGACAAGGGGCGCAAGCAUUAUUCAGCCAUACCGAGUGGGUGAAGAAGGCCUUCGGGUUGUAAAGCCCUUUUGUUGGGAAAGAAAUCCAGCUGGCUAAUACCCGGUUGGGAUGACGGUGCCCAAAGAAUAAGCACCGGCUAACUUCGUGCCAGCAGCCGCAGUAA
This 506-nucleotide ribosomal RNA is filed under the name uncultured bacterium. RNAcentral's name for it is "partial 16S ribosomal RNA". It matches the Rfam family "Bacterial small subunit ribosomal RNA", at positions 29 to 523 of the family's 1533-position model. The record is from RNAcentral.